This 854-nucleotide long non-coding RNA is filed under the name Equus caballus (horse). Its description in RNAcentral is "lncRNA (ENSECAG00000040830.2)". The record is from RNAcentral. Lineage: Eukaryota; Metazoa; Chordata; Mammalia; Perissodactyla; Equidae.
CCCGAACCUGACACACCCCCCGAGGGCGUGGGUUUCAGUGGCUGCUCUCCUCCUCCGGCUGCUGCCUCCCCCGGCCUUCCCCAGGGCCAGUGCUGAGCCCCGGGCACCCAGCUCGCCCGUCCACACCUGCAGCUCUUCCUCUGCUCUCUGCAAAGCAGGCUCUUCUUCCCUGGAUUGUGCUGUUCCCGGACUUUGGCCUCCACCUCCCCUCCUCUCCUCAGCCAGGAAUUCAACCACGGCAGCAUCAAGCGCUCCUCUGACUGCAGACCUAUUAUGUGUCAGGCACAUGCUGGGACCGCAGCUGUGGGCCAGGUAUUAAACUUCACUACCGUUUGAUACCCCUGGUCCUGAGCGUGGGAAGAGCUGCCUCUGCCUGAGCCACCCCCUCGGACAUGCCUGGUCUGGGGCUGGUCAGGGCGCCAGCGGACACCAGCAUCUCCCACGAGGGUGCUGGGGCCUGGGGCGGGUGGAGCUCAGGCCUGAAACCGUGGCUGGGGGAGCUGGUUCUGGGGCCCCCACUGGCCUGCAAAGCCUCAAGUGAAGCUGGUGAGGUGGUCUGGCCCUCGGCACCCAGGAGAGACCCUUCUGGAGGCGGAGUGGGCAGAGCCUGCAGCCCCAGGGCUGUUCAGUGCCUAGUAGCCAGUCUGUGCGAUGGCACAGAGGCACAAGCCAGCUCUGUGAGGCCUCAAGCAGCCCCAGAGGAGGAACUGAAAGGGGGCCAGGCGCGCCGAGAGAGUCCAGAGGGGGAGGAGAUAUUGUCCUCUGGAGCAUAACCACCCCCAGCUGGGCUGCAUUAGAGUCUCCCGGCUCACAGACAUCCUGCUCCAGAGACAGGCGCGGCUUCCCCCCGCCAG